AACAUCGCGCACCUGCGGGAACCUGCGGAAGGAUCAUUAAAAAGAGUGUGUACCCCUCUGUAAAAUGAGUGGGUUACCUCCCGUCCUUUGUUGACCUCUUAGGAGGUUAUUUUGAACUUUCUGCUUCGGUGGGGUUAAACCUACCGGAACACCCUCAAAUUCUUAUCAUUUAAAAAUUGUUCAGUCUGAUUUUUGUUAAUAAAAACAAAAAACUUUUAACAACGGAUCUCAGAUCGGAAG
RNAcentral lists this unclassified non-coding RNA (240 nucleotides) under soil metagenome. Its description in RNAcentral is "partial contains 5.8S ribosomal RNA, internal transcribed spacer 2, and large subunit ribosomal RNA". The record is from RNAcentral.